Molecule: microRNA precursor, 60 nt
Filed under: Euprymna scolopes
Lineage: Eukaryota; Metazoa; Mollusca; Cephalopoda; Sepiida; Sepiolidae
Description: Esc-Mir-375_pre stem-loop
Source: RNAcentral
ACCCGAGCCGUUUGUGACAAGGCGCUGAUUUUAUCUGCUUUGUUCGUUCGGCUCGCGUUA